Molecule: ribosomal RNA, 446 nt
Filed under: uncultured bacterium
Lineage: Bacteria
Description: partial 16S ribosomal RNA
Rfam family: Bacterial small subunit ribosomal RNA
Source: RNAcentral
GUAGGGAAUAUUGGACAAUGGGGGGAACCCUGAUCCAGCCAUGCCGCGUGGAGGAAGACUGCCCUCUGGGUUGUAAACUCCUUUUAUAUGGGAAGAACCGUCCUCAUUAAUGAGUGACCUGACGGUACCAUAGGAAUAAGCACCGGCUAACUCCGUGCCAGCAGCCGCGGUAAUACGGAGGGUGCAAGCGUUAUCCGGAUUCACUGGGUUUAAAGGGUGCGUAGGCGGAUAAAUAAGUCAGUGGUGAAAUCAACGGGCUCAACCUGUUAACUGCCAUUGGUACUGUGUAUCUUGAAUAUGAGAGAGGUAGGCGGAAUGUUGCAUGUAGCGGUGAAAUGCUUAGAUAUGCUACGGAACACCGAUUGCGAGGGCAGCUUACUAUUUCGUAAUUGGCGCUGAGGCACGAAAGCGUGGGUAGCGAACAGGAUUAGAAACCCCAGUAGUCC